UUGAGCCGUAUGCUAUGAAAGUAGCACGUACGGUUCUAAGAGGGGGAAAGUCCGAGAGGACCUACCUAUCUCAAC
Non-coding RNA from Coccidioides immitis RMSCC 2394, 75 nucleotides. NCBI's taxonomy places the organism in Eukaryota, Fungi, Ascomycota, Eurotiomycetes, Onygenales, Onygenaceae. The record is from Rfam.